Molecule: ribosomal RNA, 1083 nt
Filed under: Francisella tularensis
Lineage: Bacteria; Pseudomonadati; Pseudomonadota; Gammaproteobacteria; Thiotrichales; Francisellaceae
Description: bacterial SSU rRNA
Rfam family: Bacterial small subunit ribosomal RNA
Source: RNAcentral
AUAAUAUCUGUGGAUUAAAGGUGGCUUUCGGGCUGUCGCAGAUGGAUGAGCCUGCGUUGGAUUAGCUAGUUGGUGGGGUAAGGGCCCACCAAGGCUACGAUCCAUAGCUGAUUUGAGAGGAUGAUCAGCCACAUUGGGACUGAGACACGGCCCAAACUCCUACGGGAGGCAGCAGUGGGGAAUAUUGGACAAUGGGGGCAACCCUGAUCCAGCAAUGCCAUGUGUGUGAAGAAGGCCCUAGGGUUGUAAAGCACUUUAGUUGGGGAGGAAAGCCUCAAGGUUAAUAGCCUUGGGGGAGGACGUUACCCAAAGAAUAAGCACCGGCUAACUCCGUGCCAGCAGCCGCGGUAAUACGGGGGGUGCAAGCGUUAAUCGGAAUUACUGGGCGUAAAGGGUCUGUAGGUGGUUUGUUAAGUCAGAUGUGAAAGCCCAGGGCUCAACCUUGGAACUGCAUUUGAUACUGGCAAACUAGAGUACGGUAGAGGAAUGGGGAAUUUCUGGUGUAGCGGUGAAAUGCGUAGAGAUCAGAAGGAACACCAAUGGCGAAGGCAACAUUCUGGACCGAUACUGACACUGAGGGACGAAAGCGUGGGGAUCAAACAGGAUUAGAUACCCUGGUAGUCCACGCUGUAAACGAUGAGUACUAGCUGUUGGAGUCGGUGUAAAGGCUCUAGUGGCGCAGCUAACGCGAUAAGUACUCCGCCUGGGGACUACGGCCGCAAGGCUAAAACUCAAAGGAAUUGACGGGGACCCGCACAAGCGGUGGAGCAUGUGGUUUAAUUCGAUGCAACGCGAAGAACCUUACCUGGUCUUGACAUCCUGCGAACUUUCUAGAGAUAGAUUGGUGCCUUCGGGAACGCAGUGACAGGUGCUGCACGGCUGUCGUCAGCUCGUGUUGUGAAAUGUUGGGUUAAGUCCCGCAACGAGCGCAACCCCUAUUGAUAGUUACCAUCAUUAAGUUGGGUACUCUAUUGAGACUGCCGCUGACAAGGCGGAGGAAGGUGGGGACGACGUCAAGUCAUCAUGGCCCUUACGACCAGGGCUACACACGUGCUACAAUGGGUAUUACAGAGGGCUGCGAAG